CGGGACACGUGGUAUCCUGUCUGAAUAUGGGGGGACCAUCCUCCAAGGCUAAAUACUCCUGACUGACCGAUAGUGAACCAGUACCGUGAGGGAAAGGCGAAAAGAACCCCGGCGAGGGGAGUGAAAAAGAACCUGAAACCGUGUACGUACAAGCAGUGGGAGCACAGAGCAAUCUGUGUGACUGCGUACCUUUUGUAUAAUGGGUCAGCGACUUAUAUUCUGUAGCAAGGUUAACCGAAUAGGGGAGCCGAAGGGAAACCGAGUCUUAACUGGGCGUUAAGUUGCAGGGUAUAGACCCGAAACCCGGUGAUCUAGCCAUGGGCAGGUUGAAGGUUGGGUAACACUAACUGGAGGACCGAACCGACUAAUGUUGAAAAAUUAGCGGAUGACUUGUGGCUGGGGGUGAAAGGCCAAUCAAACCGGGAGAUAGCUGGUUCUCCCCGAAAGCUAUUUAGGUAGCGCCUCGUGAAUUCAUCUCCGGGGGUAGAGCACUGUUUCGGCAAGGGGGUCAUCCCGACUUACCAACCCGAUGCAAACUGCGAAUACCGGAGAAUGUUAUCACGGGAGACACACGGCGGGUGCUAACGUCCGUCGUGAAGAGGGAAACAACCCAGACCGCCAGCUAAGGUCCCAAAGUCAUGGUUAAGUGGGAAACGAUGUGGGAAGGCCCAGACAGCCAGGAUGUUGGCUUAGAAGCAGCCAUCAUUUAAAGAAAGCGUAAUAGCUCACUGGUCGAGUCGGCCUGCGCGGAAGAUGUAACGGG
Molecule: ribosomal RNA, 763 nt
Filed under: Escherichia coli
Lineage: Bacteria; Pseudomonadati; Pseudomonadota; Gammaproteobacteria; Enterobacterales; Enterobacteriaceae
Description: partial 23S ribosomal RNA
Rfam family: Bacterial large subunit ribosomal RNA
Source: RNAcentral